UUCGAAGUAUUCCUAUGCAAGGUGUAAGUAUAGAUAAGCGAGUUACGCAAAGGCCGGUUUCUUAACUAAACGAGCAUGUCGCCUCAUGUUCCCCUCACUGGUAGCCGCUGCCCGCUGGGCUGGGCAGUGGGCAAGUUAGUAUCGUAACUAUCGUCUCCCCCUCGCUUGAGGCGAUCAUUCUCGAGGUUCUUGGAAUUCAGUACAUUACUGCCACGGUGAUUUGUACUUUAUAUGGCUGCUGUAACACAGAAAAGGACAACGUUUGAAGUUAAAAAGUUAGCUUUUACCGUUUCCCGAAAGAUCCCUAAAUGUGUAGGAAGUGGGUGAACAUCUACAGAAGUGGUGACCACAUAAACACCGAAAACGCAAGAGUGUGUUCGGUUCAUUUUGAACAAAAUGAUUCUGCAAGAAACCUCAGGCAUGAAUUGCUUAACUACUACCAUACAAAUGCAAGAAAAUCGAAGGAUGAUGCCAUACCCCACCAACGCUUACUUCUGCAGGAUAGUGCCACUGCUAAUUCAGCUUGCCCAUUGUGGGAUGCCCAGCAUGGCCCAGUAUAGUGGCAUGUGUGCUGCUGUAGUGCCAUUACAAACUUAAAUAAGCCGAGGUUCCUGAAUCAGGAGCUAUGGCGCUGUUAAGGAUAAACUACUGGUGAAUUACGUCUAGAUGCGGCACGAUGAGCAGGAGAUUGUAAGCAAGAGAUCAUACCUAUGCAAAGAACAUAUGGCCAUUGGAAAUGAAUAUUGAAGCAAGUUCUCACAGCACGUAAUAUAAAUCAUAAACCAACACCGAGUUAUUACAGAAGCAUUUCUGGACUGAGGUGGUGAGAGGGUUCACCUUGACAAUAUGUGAGGCUCAAAUGUUUUGAAAGUGUUAAGCAAAGGCUUUAGAAAGUGAAAAGUGUAGUAAGUACAGGCAGUCCCUGGGUCAUGUCAGGUUUGGGUUACAUUAUUCCGGACUUACAGUGCUUGCCUCACAGCGCUGUUAAUUACGAUUUUUUGGUACCGUUACCCACACUUACGGCGCUUAUAGCACUGUAAGUGCUAUUUGUUCCCAUUAUAAUUAUGAUGCUUCAAGUUCAGCAAUUUUUGGCUUACGGCAAGUCGCCAGGGACAGAACCCUGCCAUUAACCAAGGGCUGCCUGUACCAGACAUGGAUGGUAGAAAGUUGUUAAUAUUAGCUCUAGCACAUGCCUACUUCAAUAUUUAAUGCCCCAGCCUGUGAAACCAUAUGACUGUUGGCUGAUGUUUAUGAAAACUGUAGUGCAGUGUUUUAAACUGUUGCUAAAACCUAUUGUGCAGUCCAGUCUUUGAAAGGUCUUCUACUAAAAUUUCCCACUUUAGACUGAGCUUAUAAAUUAAGUGGAAGAGUAUGUAGUGGAAAGGCUUGAAAUGAAGAAAAAGUGUUAAAAGUAAAAUUUCACUGAUAGUAAUGACGACGACUGCCUUGUGACGUGUGCUUGAUGAACACUGGAUUCAAUGCAUUACAUAACAUUUAACUGGUUAGGCUUGAUUUGAAGUACAGUUCUUAUUUUAAAGCUGGACAGAUUUUGUACUCCAUAAAUCAAUCAAGCUUUACAAAGAAGGAAAUGCCAAUCUGGUCUUGCUGUGCAUGGUUCACAGUAUUUUGUUGUCACCAUUUACACUACUAAAGUAGUACUCAUAAAACUGUUGUAAAAAUAAUUUACGAUGAAAUUACCUUUGAGCUAUCAUAAAUAUGAUGGCCACCAUAGUUUAGGUAAUACAUUAAUGACUGACUGUGUUCUUA
Macrobrachium nipponense is the source of this 1767-nucleotide long non-coding RNA. RefSeq lists it as uncharacterized. NCBI's taxonomy places the organism in Eukaryota, Metazoa, Arthropoda, Malacostraca, Decapoda, Palaemonidae. The transcript has 4 exons. The record is from RefSeq and is a predicted model, not a curated record.